Xyrichtys novacula (pearly razorfish) is the source of this 867-nucleotide non-coding RNA. Lineage: Eukaryota; Metazoa; Chordata; Actinopteri; Labriformes; Labridae. The record is from the annotation of a GenBank genome assembly.
CCCUCCUCCAUUCUCCUUUUCCACUCCACCCAGCAGCCCUAACCUUUCUUCUCCUAUCUCUCUUUCCUCCAGCAGUCACAGAGUAUCAUCGUUCCUCUCUCACCUGAUACCCUCCUCUGUUUGUAUCCUUGAUGUUUCGAGUCUAACCCAACACAAUCCUUUUUACCCUUAAAUUUUUAACCAUGACUCCACCUUAUUUCUUGUUUUGUUUUUUUCUAUCUCUUAUGUAACUCCAUCCUUGUUUCCUCGGUAUAUCUCUAUUUUCUCACAACCUCUUCGCUGCUCUGGUGUACUGUCCUCACGCUAACUCCUCUCUUACCAGCAUCCUUUCUUAUUUUACAGUUACUCCUCCUUUCCCCUGCCAUCCGUCUUGCCUUGCCAUGUUUCCUAGCUGCUGUGAUUUGAUAAUCCCCCCAGUCAUGGACUCCCAGUCUGUAUGUCAUCUGGCAUGACAGAUAGUACCUUUAGCCUUGGGCUGGGGGCCCUUUGACAGAUGGACCAGGCUCACCAGUGAAACCGCCCUACAAAGACAAAAUGCAGUAACUACAGAGUUGAGUAAUGACCUGAAUUUGUCUGUUUUAUUUAAGAACAAAAAUAAUACAUAUAUUUCUUAUAUUUUGAUUAUAUGGCUGAAAAAUGAAAUGAAUACAUCAUCAAAAAGCCUUGUAUAUGUUUGCAAGAGAGCUAGGGGAGACCGGGGCUUGUUGUCACAUGGGUAAGCUGUCACAUUGCAAUUGUCUUUGCCACCAAAGGGCACAACUAAAAAGUGGAAUCCUGGUUUUCUUCCUUUACAUGGACAGAAGUCAUGUCCUGUCUGAGAAGAGAAGAGCACAUUGUGAGCUGAGAUGAGAGCCAAUUAACUAUUUA